AUUGUCCGGCAUACCGUACUGAAGUAGGGAAAUGUGUGAGCCAGCUGCCAAGAAAAGCCGCUAUUGUUUGUACUGUACCCGUACCGUAAACCGACACAGGUAGGUGAGGAGAGAAUCCUAAGGCCGACGGGAGAAGCAUUGUUAAGGAACUCGGCAAAAUGACUCCGUAACUUCGGGAGAAGGAGUGCCAGUGAGAGCUGGCCGCAGAGAAUUGGCCCAAGCAACUGUUUAGCAAAAACACAGGUCUAUGCAAAACCGUAAGGUGAAGUAUAUGGGCUGACGCCUGCCCGGUGCUGGAAGGUUAAGGGGAGAGGUUAGCGCAAGCGAAGCUUUGAACUUAAGCCCCAGUAAACGGCGGCCGUAACUAUAACGGUCCUAAGGUAGCUAAAUUCCUUGUCGGGUAAGUUCCGACCCGCACGAAAGGCGUAAUGAUUUGGGCACUGUCUCAACAAUGCACCCGGUGAAAUUGAAAUACCAGUGAAGAUGCUGGUUACCUGCGCCAGGACGGAAAGACCCCAUGGAGCUUUACUCCAGCUUGAUACUGGGAUUCGAUAUUGUAUGUACAGGAUAGGUGGGAGGCGAAGAAGCAUUGACGCCAGUUGAUGCGGAGCCGCUGUUGGGAUACCACCCUUGCAGUAUUGGAUUUCUAACCAGCAGCCGUGACCCGGCUGGGGGACAAUGUCAGGUGGGGAGUUUGACUGGGGCGGUCGCCUCCGAAAGGGUAUCGGAGGCGCUCAAAGGUUCCCUCAGAAUGGUUGGAAACCAUUCGAAGAGUGCAAAGGCAGAAGGGAGCUUGACUGCGACACCGACGGGUGGAGCAGGUACGAAAGUAGGACUUAGUGAUCCGGUGGUAUAAAGUGGGAUUGCCAUCGCUCAACGGAUAAAAGCUACCCUGGGAUAACAGGCUUAUCACUCCCAAGAGUUCACAUCGACGGAGUGGUUUGGCACCUCGAUGUCGGCUCAUCGCAUCCUGGGGCUGAAGUAGGUCCCAAGGGUUGGGCUGUUCGCCCAUUAAAGCGGUACGCGAGCUGGGUUCAGAACGUCGUGAGACAGUUCGGUCCCUAUCCGGCGUGGGCGUAGGAUAUUUGAGAGGAGCUGGCCUUAGUACGAGAGGACCGGGCUGGACUGACCGCUGGUGUAUCUGUUGUUCCGCCAGGAGCAUGGCAGAGUAGCCAAGUCAGGAAGGGAUAAACGCUGAAGGCAUCUAAGCGUGAAGCCCCCCUCAAGAUGAGAUAUCCCAACGCAAGUUGUAAGACCCCUUGAAGACGACAAGGUAGAUAGGGCAGAGGUGGAAGUGCAGUAAUGCAUGGAGCUGACUGUUACUAAUCGGUCGAGGGCAUAAC
RNAcentral lists this ribosomal RNA (1343 nucleotides) under metagenome. RNAcentral describes it as "bacterial LSU rRNA". It matches the Rfam family "Bacterial large subunit ribosomal RNA", at positions 1558 to 2925 of the family's 2925-position model. The record is from RNAcentral.